RNAcentral lists this ribosomal RNA (253 nucleotides) under uncultured bacterium. RNAcentral's name for it is "partial 16S ribosomal RNA". It matches the Rfam family "Bacterial small subunit ribosomal RNA", at positions 524 to 776 of the family's 1533-position model. The record is from RNAcentral.
UACAGAGGGGGCAAGCGUUGUUCGGAAUUACUGGGCGUAAAGGACGCGUAGGCGGCCUUCUAAGUCGAACGUGAAAUCCCCGGGCUCAACCCGGGAACUGCGUCCGAUACUGGAAGGCUUGAAUCCGGGAGAGGGAUGCGGAAUUCCAGGUGUAGCGGUGAAAUGCGUAGAUAUCUGGAGGAACACCGGUGGCGAAGGCGGCAUCCUGGACCGGCAUUGACGCUGAUGAGCGAAAGCUAGGGGAGCAAACGGG